UACGUAGGGUCCAAGCGUUACUCGGAAUUACUGGGCGUAAAGCGUGCGCAGGCGGUUCGUUAAGUCAGCUGUGAAAGCCCCGGGCUCAACCUGGGAAUUGCGGUUGAAACUGGCGAACUAGAAUCUGGCAGAGGGGGGUGGAAUUCCACGUGUAGCAGUGAAAUGCGUAGGGAUGUGGAGGAACACCGAUGGCGAAGGCAGCCCCCUGGGCUGAGAUUGACGCUCAGGCACGAAAGCGUGGGGAGCAAACAGG
This 253-nucleotide ribosomal RNA is filed under the name uncultured bacterium. Its description in RNAcentral is "partial 16S ribosomal RNA". It matches the Rfam family "Bacterial small subunit ribosomal RNA", at positions 524 to 776 of the family's 1533-position model. The record is from RNAcentral.